GGAGGUAUACCCAAGUGGCUGAAGGGGGCGGUCUUGAAAACCGCAAGGCGUGAGAGCGCGCGUGGGUUCAAAUCCUACUACCUCCGCCA
Molecule: transfer RNA, 89 nt
Filed under: Bacilli bacterium
Lineage: Bacteria; Bacillati; Bacillota; Bacilli
Description: tRNA-Ser
Rfam family: tRNA
About the family: Transfer RNA (tRNA) molecules are approximately 80 nucleotides in length. Their secondary structure includes four short double-helical elements and three loops (D, anti-codon, and T loops).
Source: RNAcentral